GAUCCACGUGACAUUAAAAUCAUUCAUUACAAAGGGUCAUGUGAACCAAAAAACUGCUUUUAAUUCAUUGAGCAUUUAUUUAAAUAAGUGUCUGUACUUUGUUCACAUACUGAAGAAGUGUUUUUGUGUGAACACAGACUCCACUCGGCAUCUGUAUGAGAGGAAGCUUGAAAAGGCGAUGGAGCAGGCUUCAGUGAAGACGUCCUCUGAUAAGACCUACUACAGAGAGGAAGAGGAGGAAGUUACCUACAUCACAUACCAGAAUGCAGCUACACGUAAGCGCUCUGCCAACACGUGAGUACUGCUAUAACCCACACAGAACAUCGCAAGGCACAUUAAAGACACUGAUGCAACACGACAUCCUGAUUAACCUGUUAGCAGAAAAAGAGCAGCAACCUGUUCUGUCGAGAUCUGUGAAGCUGAGGUGUUGAGGGUUUAUUUAGAUCAUCACCUGCAAAGUAUGUUUACCUUGAUUAUAAUGUGACUCUUUAAUGAUCUCAUGGAGGCCUGUCUUCAUUGUCCCCACAAACAACACUAGUGACACUAUUUCAGCAGCAAACGCACGGCUGAGGAGAGGUUAGAGCCACGGUGUCCAGCACCAGGCCUCGAGGGUCAGGGUCCUGCAGGUUUUAGAUGUGUCCUUGAUCCAUCACUGCUGAUUGAAAUGGCUAAAUGACCUCCUCAACAUGUCCUGAGGUUCUCCAGAGGCCUGGUAAUGAACUAAUCAGGUGUGCUGACCCAGGGUGAGAUCUAAAACCUGCAGGACACCGGCCCUCCAGGCCUGGAGUUGGACACCCCUGUGUUAGAGCAUCUGGAUGAGGCUCUAAUUUAAGAUCCUCUCGUGCUCUGAGACAAUGAUGGAUCGAUGAAGCCGCUCCACUGACAUGUGCAUUUCAAACAUGGUGCAUGCGUGUGCAUGCACAAAUGUGGACAUGAAACUAUAGUGAAGCAGAUUAAACAGAACAUGAAUCUCAUAAAAGUGAUAGUGUGGGUUUGUGGCAUUCAUGGGUAAACAACAUUCACCUUGACUGGCGAGAUACUGGUGGUUCUCGAUGCACCACUCUCUUUACUAACCAUUUAGAAACACCAGUUGCAACCUGCCAACAACCACCAGACUGGUUUACAAACAAC
This is a non-coding RNA of Neolamprologus brichardi, 1131 nucleotides long. The record is from RefSeq and is a predicted model, not a curated record. Lineage: Eukaryota; Metazoa; Chordata; Actinopteri; Cichliformes; Cichlidae.